Molecule: ribosomal RNA, 1024 nt
Filed under: Cordyceps tenuipes
Lineage: Eukaryota; Fungi; Ascomycota; Sordariomycetes; Hypocreales; Cordycipitaceae
Description: SSU rRNA
Rfam family: Eukaryotic small subunit ribosomal RNA
Source: RNAcentral
AUUAUACAGCGAAACUGCGAAUGGCUCAUUAUAUAAGUUAUCGUUUAUUUGAUAGUACCUUACUACUUGGAUAACCGUGGUAAUUCUAGAGCUAAUACAUGCUAAAAAUCCCGACUUCGGAAGGGAUGUAUUUAUUAGAUUAAAAACCAAUGCCCUCUGGGCUCCUUGGUGAUUCAUGAUAACUCUUCGAAUCGCACGGCCUUGCGCCGGCGAUGGUUCAUUCAAAUUUCUUCCCUAUCAACUUUCGAUGUUUGGGUAUUGGCCAAACAUGGUUGCAACGGGUAACGGAGGGUUAGGGCUCGACCCCGGAGAAGGAGCCUGAGAAACGGCUACUACAUCCAAGGAAGGCAGCAGGCGCGCAAAUUACCCAAUCCCGAUUCGGGGAGGUAGUGACAAUAAAUACUGAUACAGGGCUCUUUUGGGUCUUGUAAUUGGAAUGAGUACAAUUUAAAUCCCUUAACGAGGAACAAUUGGAGGGCAAGUCUGGUGCCAGCAGCCGCGGUAAUUCCAGCUCCAAUAGCGUAUAUUAAAGUUGUUGUGGUUAAAAAGCUCGUAGUUGAACCUUGGGCCUGGCUGGCCGGUCCGCCUCACCGCGUGCACUGGUCCGGCCGGGCCUUUCCCUCUGUGGAACCCCAUGCCCUUCACUGGGCGUGGCGGGGAAACAGGACGUUUACUUUGAAAAAAUUAGAGUGCUCCAGGCAGGCCUAUGCUCGAAUACAUUAGCAUGGAAUAAUGAAAUAGGACGCGUGGUUCUAUUUUGUUGGUUUCUAGGACCGCCGUAAUGAUUAAUAGGGACAGUCGGGGGCAUCAGUAUUCAAUUGUCAGAGGUGAAAUUCUUGGAUUUAUUGAAGACUAACUACUGCGAAAGCAUUUGCCAAGGAUGUUUUCAUUAAUCAGGAACGAAAGUUAGGGGAUCGAAGACGAUCAGAUACCGUCGUAGUCUUAACCAUAAACUAUGCCGACUAGGGAUCGGACGAUGUUAUUUUUUGACGCGUUCGGCACCUUACGAGAAAUCAAAGUGCUU